AAUUACGCGUUAGGGAUAGAACGGUUUGUUUGAGCUCUUUUUAACGUUUUUUUUAACGUUAAAAAAGCGAGUAGUGAUAGCCCGACCUGAA
RNAcentral lists this unclassified non-coding RNA (91 nucleotides) under Lutibacter agarilyticus. RNAcentral describes it as "Flavo-1 RNA". The record is from RNAcentral. Lineage: Bacteria; Pseudomonadati; Bacteroidota; Flavobacteriia; Flavobacteriales; Flavobacteriaceae.